Molecule: long non-coding RNA, 4181 nt
Filed under: Sus scrofa (pig)
Lineage: Eukaryota; Metazoa; Chordata; Mammalia; Artiodactyla; Suidae
Description: lncRNA (ENSSSCG00025039415.1)
Source: RNAcentral
CAUAGUCACAGAAGAAAUGGGGGAUGAUGUUUUUAGAAAGAAGGACAGUUGAGCCAGGAGGAUGGUGUGGGUAAGGGCAAUGGCACAGGAGAGGAACCAGGAUCCAGCCAACAGACAUAGACACAGCUCCUCCCUCAUGAUGACUGUUGUAGAGGGUGACAAAUGGCCACAUAUCUGUCAUAGGACAUCACUGCAAGAAGAAGGUUAUCAAUGCAAGCAAAAAUCAUGAAAAAACAUGUCUGUAUUACACACCCUGCAUAGGGAAUAGAUUGAUCCUGAGUCUGCAUGUUCAUCAGCAUCUUUGGAACUGUGACAGAUGAAAAGGAGACAUCCGUGAGGGCCAGUUGGCUGAGGAAGAAGUACAUGGGGGUGUGGAGGCGAGGGUCCAGCCUGAUGAGCAGGAUGAUGAGUAGGUUCCCCAGCACUGUGGUCAGGUACAUGCCCAUGAACACGGCAAAGAAGAACCCCUGCUGUUCUGGCUGGAUGGGGAGUCCCAUGAGGAGGAACUCGGACACGUGGCUCUGGUUCUCCCUCCUCAUGCUCCUCUCCUGUCUGCUGGGGAAGGAUGGGAGCAGGAAUAUCAGAGACAUUGAACUCAUAUUGUGGCCACCACAUUAGGUCUCUCACCUUCUCAUGGAGAAAAAGGAUAACUGCCUGCAUUUGUUUUAUCACCUGUUCUUGCCAAAGCAAGUGACAUACCCUCAACGCUCAACAUGAUUCCUUUCAAUGAAAACCAGAGAAAAUUCUACACUUUUUCUUUUUAAUCAACCAUGUUACUGACACUAAGCUAAUAACUGGACAUAGAAGAAUAAAUACAACAUACAGGACCUCCUCCCUCAGGAGACUAUCCCUCAAGGACACACUUGACCAAGGACUAACUAAAUGAACCUGAAGCCAGAUUCACUGUGUUGUAACUUUGGUCACAUGAAAUUCUUGAUGUAGGACUUUGGAUGCUAAAUCUCUAUUAGCCUCAUGUUGCCCUUCUAUAAUACCAUGAGGCUGCCAAUAUCACACUUCCAUAGAUUUAAAAAAAGGAUUCUAAUUCAUGAGGCAUAAAUCUCCAAGAACAAUUUUCUGCAUAAAAUAAACACCAAAAAUUGCAUAGAUUAUUUUUAUGAGAGGAUUUAUAUCCCCCCAAAAAUCAACAUCAAGUUCAGGAAUUUAAGAGUAUUAUGACGUGGUCACUAUAAAGGACCAAGAAACUGCCCUAAAAUUGAGCAACUGAGCUCUCUCAUACUUUUAUUUAUUUAUUUAUUUAUUUAUUUAUUUAUUUAUUUAUUUAUUGACUUUUCUAUUUUCAGGGCCACACCCAAGAAAUAUAGAGGUUCCCAGGCAAGGGGUGUAAUUGGAUCUACAGAUACCAGCCUAUGCCACAGACGCAGCAAUACCAGAUCUGAGCUGCAUCUGUGACCUACACCUCAGCUCAUGGAAAUGCCAGAUCCUUAAACCACUGAGCAAGGCCAGAGAUUGAAAUCCCACAACCUCAUGAUUCCUGGUCAGAUUCCUUUCCGCUGCUCCAUGAUGGAAACUCCUCUCUCACAAUCUUAAGGUGAGUUUCUGAGCUCAUACCCUGUCACAGGGAUCAGUUCCUUGCUCAAACUUUUCUUAAUGUAUGUUUAUCUUCUUGCCAAGAAAUAAACCUUACUUCAGGGCAUGGACCUCCAUCUAUCUCCAUCUACAUCUGAUCCUCCAAGUCGGCUCAGAUCUGGAUAUUCAUCGUUAGGAAGACACCUGAGAUCUAAGAUGUAGUCUGAGAGGUGAGAGGUACUGAAAGAUUGGGGUGUCUCUUAGAAGUCAGUUUCCUGAUUGACCAGCACUAUUUCCCAAUAUUGAGCUUCACACUGAUAAUAAUGGAAAGUUAAUGAACACAAUGGCAGACAAAUACAUUUUUGCAUGAUUGCCUCACUGAACUUUUCAAGAGUCCGAGGAGGGAUCAUAUUAAAACUUCACUUUGGGGAGUUCCCAUUGCAGCUCAGCAGGCUAAGAACCCAAGUAGUAUCCAUGAUGAUACCGGUUUGUACCCUAGCCUCACUCAGUCAGUUAAGGAUCCAGAAUUGCCAUGAGCUGCAGUGUAGGCUCCAGACAGGGUUUGGAUCUGGCAUUGCUGUGGCUGUGGUGUAGGCCAGCAGAUGCAGCUCUGAUUUACCCUAGCCUGGGAACUACCAUAUGCUGCAGGUGAAGCCCUAAAAAAUUAAAAAUUCAAAAAAAAUUUAAAAACUGCACUAUCAACAUACUCAGAAGGAGUAGGAAAUGAACAUGAUCAUAGUGAGUAAGAACUGUAGUCACAUUUCUCUCACAUGCUUUUAAAUAUAUACUGAAAUCUUUGCUUCUAUGACUCCAUGUUCCUCCCUCUGUUUAAUUAGACAAAUAGGCAGGACCUCAAGAAGAAAUGUUUUGUGAUUUGAAGGAGUCCUACUGCUCAGAUAACUGUCCACUCUCAUAUUCCUGCAGACAUUUAGUUUGCCAUAUGCCUUCCAUAUCAUUCAAUCCAUCAUCCUUUAUUUCUCUCUGGGAAGCAGAGAACAGUGUUUGUUCCCUGCAUUUUACCAUCAGGAGUAGGGAUAUAGUUAUUGCAUAGUGGAACCUUGUCUCAAACAUGGAUUUUCUGAUCAUUUUUCAGUACAGAGAAUCCACCCAUUUCUUUUUAUGAGGGGUAGAGAGGCUAACGCAAAAUGUUAAAAGUGAAAAUUUCAUGUUAAAACAUGCCUGAGAGAGGAAAGUUAUAUUAACAUUAUGUAAGAUUCUGUCAAUAGAUGCUCGCUUCUGACAAGGGAGUUGCUUGGGGUUAUUAACUGACUCAGUUCACAGGAAGCAAGGAAGAACCAGGCACUUCACCCUCCUGCCAAGCAUAGGCUUCUCACUGAAAGCUGCUGGGUCAGACUUAGCCCAGGAACUCAUAGAUCACCUGCAGGAGAACCACAGCUCCUAAUGACACCCAGGAGAUGCAAUGGGAACAGAAGAGAACAAUACAGACAUGAAACUUUGAUUCCAUCAGCACUCUGUGCAAAAAGGUUGUUGGGAAACUGCUCAGUAGUGAAGAGGAGAUGAUGUGUGACCUAGGAGUGGGGUGUUGAGAGAGAUUAUAAAUGAGCUCAUUUUCCUAGCUUCAUACCAAAUACCAUCCCCUGCACAAUCAGGACAUGGAGAUUCAGGGGUGUGGGUCUCCUCGAGGCUACAAUUUGCUAAGUGCUAAUGAUGUGUCUGGCUUCUUCAGCACCGUACAUGCAAGGUCUGUCAGCAAUUAGCAUGACCCCAUGGAACAGCACUGGAUGCGGAGAAUCACCAUGGCCAAACCCAAGGCCACCAAGCUAUUACAUGGGGAAUGAUGAAGAUCUGAGUGUCAAAGUAUGUGAUUCCAGAAAUGAGCAUUUCAUUUGUAAAUGAACUGACCAAAAUUGAAGCAGGGUGUCAAAACUAUUGGGCUUCCAGGGGCCCUGCUGGCAGAGUCAAAUCACAGGAAAAUGGAUGCCAAUAGCUCUGCAAAGUCUGUUUCCUGAGGAGCUGCCUGUGUAUCUUCUGGUCUCAGGCCAGUGGAGGGUAAAAAAUGAGAGAAUGUCCCCCUACACACAACACACAGAUAUUUAUUUCUUCUCUGAAGGAAGUCAGGCAUGGGUUUGGUACCCAAAAGUACUCACACACUAUCACAGACACAAACUUGCCAAGUAGAGAUUUAUAGGUUUUUCUGAUUUAUUCUGUGAACUAGAGAAGUACAGUCAGGGUAUGAGUCAGCUUCACACAAAUCUAUGCAAAACUCACAAACAAAAUACCCAUGUACCACACAGCUACACACACAGAACUGUCAAGCAUCCUAGACCAGAGGCCUUGUUGACACAAGAAGUCAUUCAUAUUAGAAAAACAAGCAGUGCGCAAGGUCUUAUACACAGCACACAAGCAGUAGAUGCACAUAGAACAGGCAUACAAUGAGGAAAUGUGCAGGCUUCUGUAGUCUGUCACAUGGAUUAUUUGCAUCUCUCUAUAUUCUAGUGUGUGUCAUUCAGUGUCUUUGUCAGUUACACAUACACACAUAGACUCAUACAACACCACACACACACAAAUAUAACUAAUGUCUCUGAUGGUCACACAAACACUUACACAUUGACACACAUGCCCGACUAGGGAGGUUUCUGGUCUCCUUCUGAGCUAUACCUGUGAUCUGAGUUCAAAUACCUUCUGCUUCAUUC